AAGGUAGAGCAACAAAGGGCCCUGACCACUAUAGGCAACACGUAUAGGUCGAGACAUGAGGCAGCAACAAGUAAACAAAAAUUGGUUGAGCUGGAGAAGGCCAAAUCUGCGUUUACAGAGAGCCUACAGCUGUGUGAGGAACUGAAGGGCAGCAUCAAGGCUGCAGAGUACAGUGACAUGAAGGGGAGGCUACUCUAUAAUAUCGGCCUGGUAUUCACAGACUUGGGUGAUGUGGAAUCUGGUAUCAGCUAUUUGAAUAAAGCACUGGCAAUUUUGCAAAAACGGCAUUUACUACAAGCAAUAAUCGCGGAAACCUGCCCUAUGACCACGGACACAACUGAUUUCCUGCAUUUAUAUACAUUUUGUUACUUUCUUUGACAUGUAAACAUACUAACCUACAUUCAUUUUAAUUUCCAAUAAACAAAGCAUCUCCGAAA
Molecule: long non-coding RNA, 437 nt
Organism: Dreissena polymorpha
Lineage: Eukaryota; Metazoa; Mollusca; Bivalvia; Myida; Dreissenidae
Exons: 4
Source: RefSeq, a predicted model, not a curated record